RNAcentral lists this ribosomal RNA (438 nucleotides) under uncultured bacterium. RNAcentral's name for it is "bacterial SSU rRNA". It matches the Rfam family "Bacterial small subunit ribosomal RNA", at positions 954 to 1392 of the family's 1533-position model. The record is from RNAcentral.
GCAUAACGCGAAGAACCUUACCCGGGCUUGAAAGUUACUGAAGCAUCCAGAGACGGAUGCGUCCUUCGGGACAGGAAACUAGGUGCUGCAUGGCUGUCGUCAGCUCGUACCGUGAGGUGUUGGGUUAAGUCCCGCAACGAGCGCAACCCCUAUGUCUAGUUGCCAGCACGUUAUGGUGGGGACUCUAGACAGACUGCCUGCGCAAGCAGAGAGGAAGGCGGGGACGACGUCAAGUCAUCAUGGCCCUUACGUCCGGGGCUACACACGUGCUACAAUGGAUGGUACAGCGGGCAGCUACACAGCAAUGUGAUGCCAAUCUCGAAAAGCCAUUCACAGUUCGGAUCGGGGUCUGCAACUCGACCCCGUGAAGUUGGAUUCGCUAGUAAUCGCGUGUCAGCAAUGACGCGGUGAAUACGUUCCCGGGUCUUGUACACACCG